CGGGCCGAGAUCGGCACCGGCGGGGACCGAUGAGGCUGGGGGUGGCGGAUAGUCCCAGCUAUGGCUAAAUGAACGUAAUUUCCUUGUAACUUCUGGCUGCCCCUGGCUUUGUGCGAGACAGGGCUGCGUUUAUGCCGCUGAGGAGAGCGGCACCGUUACCGGUUAACGGCAGAUAGUUCCCCCGGUGUCUUUGGCCCUGUCGCUGCCAUUAGCACAUGGGUAUGUGCCUGAAGAACCGGCCCGGCCCCUGGAGGAGGAGACACGUGCCGGCAGCUGUGGCAGCGGGGGCGGCCUCUCCCCUGGGCCUUCCCUGGGCUUGCUGCUUUGUGUUGACUAGAAAAGAGGAGACAAUUGUUCACACACCAGAUGCGAAGUACUGCAUCACCCGGGUUUGAUUCUGGCUUGUAAAGAAUAUGUCCGAACAAAAGCCUUUCAUAUCCUGUGCUCUUUGUUCUGCUAAGAACCGUAAUGGUUGUCAGAACUGGAUUCCCGUGUGCCCUCAAUUACAGGCUAUCUGUAAAUCAUCAAAAGGAAUAGAUUGAAGAAACCAUGGCCAAUCAACGGGAUUACAUUAGCAGACCUAUUUGCAACGGAAUUUCUGUUCCUGAAAAUAAGAUCAAUUCCUUAGUGGCUGAAGGUCAUGGACAACAAAUUCUAAAAGUACUACAAAAGUUCAGAGAACAAAAUAUAUUUUUUGACUUUAAAAUUCUUGUGAAAGAUGAAAUAAUUCCUUGUCAUCGUUGUGUACUGGCAGCAUGCAGUGAUUUCUUCAGGUAAACCCAAUUUUGGCAUGAGUUUGCAGGAAAUGGAUUGUAAGCUCUCUGGGAGGGAGGGAAGGAAGGAAUGAAUAUAAUUACAAAAAUUAAAAAAUAAAUUAUCACAGCUUACAGAGUCUUGAGCAAAGCAUUCAAACAUCAUAUUAAGGAUA
Long non-coding RNA from Athene cunicularia (burrowing owl), 928 nucleotides. RefSeq lists it as uncharacterized. The record is from RefSeq and is a predicted model, not a curated record. Lineage: Eukaryota; Metazoa; Chordata; Aves; Strigiformes; Strigidae. The transcript is spliced from 2 exons.